This 1383-nucleotide ribosomal RNA is filed under the name uncultured bacterium. RNAcentral's name for it is "bacterial SSU rRNA". It matches the Rfam family "Bacterial small subunit ribosomal RNA", at positions 18 to 1396 of the family's 1533-position model. The record is from RNAcentral.
CCUGGCUCAGGAUGAACGCUAGCUACAGGCUUAACACAUGCAAGUCGAGGGGCAGCAUGGUCUUAGCUUGCUAAGGCCGAUGGCGACCGGCGCACGGGUGAGUAACACGUAUCCAACCUGCCGUCUACUCUUGGACAGCCUUCUGAAAGGAAGAUUAAUACAAGAUGGCAUCAUGAGUCCGCAUGUUCACAUGAUUAAAGGUAUUCCGGUAGACGAUGGGGAUGCGUUCCAUUAGAUAGUAGGCGGGGUAACGGCCCACCUAGUCUUCGAUGGAUAGGGGUUCUGAGAGGAAGGUCCCCCACAUUGGAACUGAGACACGGUCCAAACUCCUACGGGAGGCAGCAGUGAGGAAUAUUGGUCAAUGGGCGAGAGCCUGAACCAGCCAAGUAGCGUGAAGGAUGACUGCCCUAUGGGUUGUAAACUUCUUUUAUAAAGGAAUAAAGUCGGGUAUGGAUACCCGUUUGCAUGUACUUUAUGAAUAAGGAUCGGCUAACUCCGUGCCAGCAGCCGCGGUAAUACGGAGGAUCCGAGCGUUAUCCGGAUUUAUUGGGUUUAAAGGGAGCGUAGAUGGAUGUUUAAGUCAGUUGUGAAAGUUUGCGGCUCAACCGUAAAAUUGCAGUUGAUACUGGAUAUCUUGAGUGCAGUUGAGGCAGGCGGAAUUCGUGGUGUAGCGGUGAAAUGCUUAGAUAUCACGAAGAACUCCGAUUGCGAAGGCAGCCUGCUAAGCUGCAACUGACAUUGAGGCUCGAAAGUGUGGGUAUCAAACAGGAUUAGAUACCCUGGUAGUCCACACGGUAAACGAUGAAUACUCGCUGUUUGCGAUAUACGGCAAGCGGCCAAGCGAAAGCGUUAAGUAUUCCACCUGGGGAGUACGCCGGCAACGGUGAAACUCAAAGGAAUUGACGGGGGCCCGCACAAGCGGAGGAACAUGUGGUUUAAUUCGAUGAUACGCGAGGAACCUUACCCGGGCUUAAAUUGCAGAUGAAUUACGGUGAAAGCCGUAAGCCGCAAGGCAUCUGUGAAGGUGCUGCAUGGUUGUCGUCAGCUCGUGCCGUGAGGUGUCGGCUUAAGUGCCAUAACGAGCGCAACCCUUGUUGUCAGUUACUAACAGGUUCCGCUGAGGACUCUGACAAGACUGCCAUCGUAAGAUGUGAGGAAGGUGGGGAUGACGUCAAAUCAGCACGGCCCUUACGUCCGGGGCUACACACGUGUUACAAUGGGGGGUACAGAGGGCCGCUACCACGCGAGUGGAUGCCAAUCCCCAAAACCUCUCUCAGUUCGGACUGGAGUCUGCAACCCGACUCCACGAAGCUGGAUUCGCUAGUAAUCGCGCAUCAGCCACGGCGCGGUGAAUACGUUCCCGGGCCUUGUACACACAGCCCG